RNAcentral lists this ribosomal RNA (497 nucleotides) under uncultured bacterium. RNAcentral describes it as "partial 16S ribosomal RNA". It matches the Rfam family "Bacterial small subunit ribosomal RNA", at positions 28 to 507 of the family's 1533-position model. The record is from RNAcentral.
GAUGAACGCUGGCGGCGUGCCUAAUACAUGCAAGUCGAGCGAACAGACGAGGAGCUUGCUCCUCUAACGUUAGCGGCGGACGGGUGAGUAACACGUGGAUAACCUACCUAUAAGACUGGGAUAACUUCGGGAAACCGGAGCUAAUACCGGAUAAUAUAUUGAACCGCAUGGUUCAAUAGUGAAAGACGGUUUUGCUGUCACUUAUAGAUGGAUCCGCGCCGCAUUAGCUAGUUGGUAAGGUAACGGCUUACCAAGGCGACGAUGCGUAGCCGACCUGAGAGGGUGAUCGGCCACACUGGAACUGAGACACGGUCCAGACUCCUACGGGAGGCAGCAGUAGGGAAUCUUCCGCAAUGGGCGAAAGCCUGACGGAGCAACGCCGCGUGAGUGAUGAAGGUCUUCGGAUCGUAAAACUCUGUUAUUAGGGAAGAACAAAUGUGUAAGUAACUAUGCACGUCUUGACGGUACCUAAUCAGAAAGCCACGGCUAACUACGUG